AGAUGAUGGCAAGCUCUGUACCUUCGUGCGGUGUAUGUGAAUUUCAAAAUGUCUUUAAAACUGCAUCCAUAUGGUGUUCUGAUUGUGAUGAGGGCCUUUGUAUAGACUGCAGUAAGCAUCAUGGAAUUUCCAAAGCAACAAGAAAGCAUGUAACUAUACCGAUAUCAGAAUAUAAUGCAUUACCUACUUACAUUACAAACAUUAAGCAGACAUGUAGUACACAUAAUGAAAAUUAUCAGAUUUACUGCAAUGAACAUGAAUGUGCGUGUUGUAGUAAGUGCAUCGUUGAAAAGCAUACAAAAUGUCAAAAUAUUUCCAAUCUUGAUGAUGUUGUAAAAAACACAAAGGCUUCAAACGCUUUUUUUGAAAUUUGUGAAACAUUAAAUGAAGUUGCUGAAAAUAUAAAAAGGAUCCGUCAAGAUAAAAAUGUUAAUCUGAAAACAUUGUCCGAAAAAAGAAAACAGAUUGAAUGUGAAAUUCAACAGGUUCGGUUAAAUAUCAAUCAACAUCUCGAUAAACUGCAAGAGGACUUCAUAUCGGAAUUGCAUGAGACAGAAAGAAGAGAAAAAACAAAAAUCCAUCAGUUAAUGAAAGCUUUAGAUGAACAUGAAAGUAAAGUUGCAGAACACCAAGAGAACAUAGCAAACAUAAAACAACACGCAUCAGAUCUACAGACCUUCCUAUCUCUGAAGCAGCUUGAAGGUGAUGUUGAUGAAAACUGUCAGUUUAUUGAUUCACUUACUGAAAGUAAUGUUCUUAAUCGUGUGAAGAUCAAGUUUAACAUUAAUACAUCACUUACUGACAUUGCAAAUAGUGUUCUUGAGUUUGGAAAAGUAUUUAUUGACACCUCUAAUAGCUCAGUGAACAUUGUGAAGAAAAAACAACAAGAAGCUCAGUUGAUAGUACCUAAAGUAUCAUCAAUUGUGCCCAUUGAGAAUAUACAAGCCAAGUUAGAACAGACUAUAAAAACCGAAUCAUCUUAUAUUAGAGGAUGUUGCAUGUUGCCUGAUAGUAGGUUUGUAUUCACCUAUCCUGAUUUAGACAAAGUUACUGUAGUUAAACAAGACGGGACGGUUGACUUUGUUCUGAAUGUAACAGCAGCAAAUGGUAUAGCGUACAACGAUAAAGAUAACACUAUAGCGAUAUCAUCCUUUUGGAGUCGCAUUGGCAACAAAAUAACAAUAAUCGAUUUAUUUACACGAAAAGUAAAGAAAACUUUUUCAACGGGGGGACAAACCCAAGGAAUAGCAGUUACCAAUACAACACUUCUAUAUCACCUAUUCAACAAGGCAAUUCGAGCCAUGGAUCUGACUGACGAAUCAAUACGUGAUAUAACUACUGAGAACAUGGACACAUUAAUGAACAUAACAAUAUCUGGAAACAAAUUUUAUUAUUCCAGUUAUAAGUAUCAUACAGUAGUAUGCUGCGAUCUGCAAGGUACAACACAAUGGACAUUCAAAAAUGUAAAGGUUUUGAGUCAUCCAUUUGGAAUAUCAGCUGACAAUGAUGGUAAUGUGUAUGUUGUAGGAUGUGAAUCAAAGAAUGUCGUGGUUAUCUCCCCUGAUGGACAAACACAUAGAGAACUCUUAACUAAAAGAGAUGGUUUAGAUUCCCCAUGUUCAAUUAACUUUAGAAAGGAAACUAAUCAGUUAUUAGUUGCAAAUAAUUCUGAGAAAACGUAUUUGUAUAACGUAUCUAGUAAUUAAAUCACUUCAAUAUUUUAUCUCAAUGCAGUUUUGAAUGAAAUGGAGAAUAAAAGAUACAUAUAUACAAAAAAACACAUAGUUACAUGGAAACACAAUUGCUAGUAAAAUGUACUUUAUAGAACAGCCCGGAUUUUUCUUGAUAUUCAGCACUGAAACCAGGAAAUUGUUUGUUUAAACAAGCAUUUAAAUGAUAAGGUUAAGUGCUUCUCUCACAGUUGGUGUCCACUGAUGUUAUCAAAAAAAACACGGAUGGUCAUUUGGUCAAGAUUAUUUAACUUACAGUUUCUACUCUAAAUACAUUAUAUUUCUGAUCUGCAAAAUAUUUGCAAAGACGAUGUGUUUUCAAAUUUUUUGUUUCUCCAUAUUUUUGCAAUGUUUUGCAUCCAAAAUUCAAUAAAAAAAAAAUUCUUUGCAUAUUGACAAAAAUAAUAGGAUUUCUGCAGCUAAUUUGGAAAUACUCUGAUCAUAAUUUCAAGCAAAUUUGAUAUGUUUUAAUAAAACAGGUCAAUGUAAUUUUGUUAAAAUCAACCAGGACCAGGGCCAAUCAAGUGUAUCUUAUUAUAAUCCUGUGUAACUAAUUUCCUUUUUGAGGUGCAGAUAUAUAGAGUAAUUAAGAGUUGGUUUAUCCAGUGUAGGAUGUUAUGGAAUACAUUUUUCAUCAUUUACUUUAAUAUUUUUCUUUUAGAAAUUCUCACUUGCAUGCUUGUGGUAUAAUUAUUGUGUGUUUAUUUCUAUAUCAGAAAUCCAGAUCUGGUCUGUUUCUAAUAUUAAAGGAGGUGUUUCGGUUACGGUCAUGUAGACCAAGCAGAUAUCCCUAGAAUAUGGAACGCCAUGACUGCCUUAUGUUAAUGAUUAGCAUUAUAUGCAGUGCUCACACCAUUAUAUUAAGUGCUCACAACAUUAUAUUAAGUGCUCACAACAUUAUAUUAAGUGCUCACAACAUUAUACGCAGUGGUCAAAACAUUAUAUGCAGUGCUCACAACAUUAUAUGAAGUGGUCACAACAUUAUACGUUUUUUUGUUGUAUGAUGAGAUUGAUGUAUGAUGAGAUUGAUGUAUGAUGAGAUCAUUCGGUAAACUUCGUUUUUUUAGCGGACAUUACCGAAUCCAUGAUUGGUAAAUUACGGUAAUGCCCAGUAAACAAAUUUAAACAGUUAUUAAAGUUAUGUUAUCAUAAGGCAGUAUACAAUAUUUAAAACUGAUUGAAAUAAGUAAGGAAAAGAUGAAACUAAGAGGUGAAUGAUUGAAGUAGUUCUGUUCGUCGUAAGAAAUACGAAUGGCAAAAUGUAAGUUAAAUAAUAAAAUGUUUAUUUAAUGAAAUAUCGAAGGAAAAUUUGUAUGAUAUAUUCCUCGAGUUCAUUUCCUACUGAAGAACUUUAGCAAGGUGCCACUUUAUAGUCCGUACUCAGUUUUAAAAAGCUUAAUUACCUUUUAAAUAAAACAGUCAGCUUUCUAUAACACAUAGGUGCCAUAUUACGCUAGCUUAUAUAUGUCAUGAUAGAGUCAUUUUUGGCAUCGAUUUUCAGAAUUUGGCAUUUUUACAUGAAUAAGUAUCUAACAGAUACGGAAAAUGCAGUUUAAAGCAUUUCAUUGUAGGUGUUUAACAUAACUUUACAUCAAUUAUUCCAUUUUUUACAAGCUUUUUAGCACGCCAAGUAGUUUGUCUUCUAAGUAUGAUCAGCAGUCUUAUACAGAAAUAUAAACUUUCAUAAGAAAAAUUUACCCUUUCAAGACCCAGUUUAACAUCUUCAUUUAAAGUUAUUAUCUCGUAUGAAAACUGAGUUUGUGGGGAUGAAUAAAACGUUUACUACGUUUGUUCGUCAGUUUGCACGGUUAAUAUAUAUAAAAAGUGGUAUGCUUGCCAAUGAAACAACUUUCCACAAGAGACAAAAUGACAUCACAGAAAGUUACAACUAAACGGCCACAGUACGGCCUUCAACAAUGAGCAAAGCCCAUACCGCAUAGUCAGCUAUAGAAGGCCCCGAAAUGAUAAACGUAAAACAUUCCUUAUUUAUGUACAAACAAACGAUCGAAAAACUAACAUGUAUAUAACACAUUAACAAACGACAACCACUGAAAUAAAGGCUCCUCCUGACUUGGGACAGCCACAUAUAUACAGAAUGUGCGGCGGGUUUUAACAUGUUAGCGGGAUACCAACCCUCCCUCUAACCUGGGACAGUGGCGUAACAGAACAACAUAAGAAGGAACUAUGAAAAUCAGUUGUAAAAGGCUUAACUCAUCAGAUGGGUACAAAUAUAAAUACAUCUAACAAGAAAAUAGAGUGGACAUGGGCGGGUACUUGUAUAUCCCAACAACAAAAAGACACUAUAAGUACUGAUCUGAGAGUACUCGCAGUUACUGACAGCUAGUUCAAAGCCAUUAACAACUAAUAAAAAAAACUUUCAUCUAAGUUUUGCAUUUAGGUAAAGAUUGAAACAAACUGUGAGUAACAAAGAUUGAUUUACUAUUAUUGGAUAGUAACGAUUGUCCAUGAAAAAAGAGUCAUUUUCAAUGCUCUUCAACUUUGUACUUGUUUGGAUUUAUAAAUAUUUUGAUAUGAGCGUCACUGAUGAGUCUUAUGUAGACGAAACGAGCAUCUGGCGUACUAAAUUAUAAUCCUGGUACCUUUGAUAACUACUUGACCUAAAUUAAUUCUGGUUAAUGUACAUUAAAAUACAAAAUAUAAUCAACUACAAGUCAUAAAAGAAUAAUAUCUUUUAGAUCGCACUUCUUUGGUAACAAUGGACCUCGAAAAAAGAUUCAAAUUUGUGUUUAGGUCCAGAUGAUAGCAACAACACAUAAAAGAGGAAUGCUAUUUGUUGCUGAGCACUUCUUUGAUUUUAUUUUAAGUCCACACAAUUUUAUUUUGUAACAGAAGCACAAAAAAAACCGAUACUCGUUAUUAUGUCAAUAUAUAAUUGUAAUAUAAUUAUAUUAAUGGAAAACUUCUAGUAUUGUGUUACUGUGAACUCUUCUCGUUGUUGUUAUUGGCGUUCUAAUUCUUCUCACAUACAAGCUUGUCUAUAGUCUGGGGAUUUCUGUUAUUUUGCUACUAAUUUUUUUUCCAUAUCCCAUGUUAGGCAUCAAUGUAAAAGGUUGAAAAUUUCAUAUCUGAAUAUUUUUUUCGUUAUCUGGAAAGUUACUUUUGACGACGGAUCUUGAUUGUUUCUGUGGGGCUUCUUUCUCACGGAUAUGGAUCACUCACGGGAAAAAAUGGAAAAUUGUCGAAACUAAUUUGACUUUUAUGUAUAGCAUAGUCCGAAUUAUAUUCUUAAAAGAAUUUAAAUUCACAAACUUGUUAUUUUGCACCAAACAUUGCUGUGACAUGCCUUUUUAAAAUAUGAUUGAAAAUCGUAAAUGUUUAAGUAAAAUUCUAUUUGCAAUUGCUGACCAACAUUGAUAAAAAAAAAAAAUGCAAUGAACAGUAUACUUCUGACAGGUUCUCCUUGAAAAAUACUGGGUCAUAACAUAUCUUAAUUACAAUCCCGAGUAAUCUGAAUAUAUUUAUUCAGAAAUGCACAAUAUAUAGUGUAUAAAUUUACAUGUUUUAAUACGACUGCAAGAAAAAAUGAAAAAAAAGGUCGUAUAUUGCUAUCACGUCGUCGUCGUCAGCGUCGCCGAAGACAGAUGUUUCCCGGAUAAUAACUUUUGUUUAAGUAAAUAGGUUUAUAACCACUAAAGAAAGGUUGGGAUUGAUUUUUUUUUUUGGGGGGGGGGGGUUAUGGUCUUAACGGUUUAGGAAUUAGGAGCCAAAAAGGGGGUCGAAAUAAACAUUUUUGUAGUUUCCAGUCAUUACGUGUAUGAAUCUCUCUGAAAUUAUACCACAAGUUUCCAAACUACAAAAGGGAUGGUUAGGAUUUGCUCGGAGGGGUAGGUGAGGGGAGGUGUUAUGGCUCAAACCGUUUAGGAAUUAGAGGCAAAAAAGAGGGAAAAACAAGGGUUUCUUGGUUAAUGGUCAAUUGAGACAAUUUGAAACCAGUGUAAGGAAGGUUAAUCAAAUAUAUUAAGGUAAUCCAGACAUGUUUGAUCACCUCCCUUACACUGCUUUAAAAUUAUGUGUAAAGAUUUUUUUUUCCCAUAUCAGAUUUCAGAAAUUAAAAAGAAAAAAAGUGGGGGAUACAUUUUUCUUUUCUUGAGAUUGGGGUCAGUAUGCAACAGCAUAUUAUAUUGCACAAAACAACAAAAAAAGGAGGGUAUUUUUUUAAUUUUUGGAGGGGGUGGGGCAAUUCGCAACAGCGUAGUGCAAAAGCAAAAAAAUAAGUAUAAAUUCAAAUUAUAUAACCAAUUUUUAGUUCUUUGACUACAGUUAUUCUGUGACAGAAACCUAUUAUGUGUCAAAUAUUUAAUUACAUUCCAAAUUCAGACCUGAAUCAAGAGUGAAUAGUGUGUCCAUUUUUGUCCGAACGGUUCAGGGUUGGACCUCUGCGGUCGUAUGCAACUGCGUUCGGCGAAGCAAUUUAAUAAAGACUUAAAUAUAAUUUUAUAUACAUAUUUAAAAGUUGUGAAUAUGGUGAAACUGGUCCUCAAAAUAAGUUUAAACUGCCCUGGUGUGGAAUGAAUUUGUGUUAAAUUGAUCAUACUUCUUAAUUUACUUAUUUCAAUCAGUUUUCAAUAUUGUAUACUGCCUUAAUGAUAACAUAUAAUAAUAACUGUUGAAAUUUGUCUGCUGGGCAUUAACUUACCGUAAUUUACCAAUUAUGGAUUCGGUAAUUUCCGCUAAAAAAAGAAGUUUACCGAAUGAUCUCAUAAUACAUCAAUCUCAUCAUACAUCAAUGCAAUCUCAUCAUACAACAAAAAACGUAUAAUGUUGUGACCACUUCAUAUAAUGUUGUGAGCACUUAUAUAAUGUUUUGACCACUUCAUAUAAUGUUGUGACCACUGCAUAUUUAUAAUGUUUGGACCACUGCGUAUAAUGUUGUGAGCACUUAAUAUAAUGUUGUGAGCACUUAAUAUAAUGUUGUGAGCACUGCAUAAUGGUGAGCACUGCAUAUAAUGCUAUGAGCACUGCAUAUAAUGUUGUGAGCACUGCAUAUAAUGUUGUGAGCACUUAAUAUAAUGUUGAGAGCACUUAAUAUAAUGUUAUGAGCACUUAAUAUAAUGUUGUGAGCACUGCAUAUAAUGAUGUGAGCACUGCAUAUAAUGAUGUGAGCACUGCAUAUAAUGUUGUGAGCACUUAAUAUAAUGUUGUGAGCACUUAAUAUAGUGUUGUGAGCACUUUAUAUAAUGUUGUGAGCACUGCAUAUAAUGGUGUGAACACUGCAUAUAAUGUUGUGAGCACUGAAUAUAAUGCUGAUCAUUAACAUAAGGCAGUCAUGGCGUUCCAUACUAGAAUAUAUGUUUCCUUUCUUGUGAUAUUUAGAAUCAGUGGCGAAUCCAGAGGGGGGCGUACAAGGCGUACGCCUCCCCUUUGCUUGGACUUUUUUUUUUUUGUAAAAUGAUUAAUCAGACUUGCCUCGUGAACUUUGCCAUUUUCCGUGUAUUUAAUUUUUAUGUGACAAUUCUUUACUUAUAAAGAUAUUUUUGCUGGUAUUUACUGAUUAUGUCAAAAUCAUGUGAUUCGCUAUUAUGAAGUUGAACAAUGCAUAAAAAACCGUUACUCAUUCAUUUUUAAAUUAAAAUUACAGUAACGAUGCUUAGGCUGAGGAUGACAACCGUGAUACCUUUAAAGCGAUAACAGAUUGAGCAAGAAGGUAGUGACUUCAUUUUUACAAUUCAACCAAACAAAAAGUAAUACUCUGUUACACUUUCAUGAAAAACAAAUCCACAGCGAUAUUAUUUUCCUACAAAAAAUGUUUAACCCCAAACGCCCUGAGAAACGCCCCAGCCCAUUUUAAAAUAACAUGAUAGCUGAACAAUGAUCCUCAGUCAGUAUAAGCUCUAGAUAGAUUUAAAGUCUAAGGUACGAACCAUUUGAUUUGCGGUGACAGUCUAAGGUAUUUGAGAGAAAAAAAAUCUGACUCUGAUUUUUGCAUUGAAUAAAAAUUCUGGUCAAUUGGACAAGAUUAAUGAAAACAUUAAUCUUGUCCAUUUUUUUGCUAUUAGAAACGAAAAUUCCCAACAGAAUUAUUUAGAAUUAAUUGAACAUGAUGAAUAAAGAACGGGCGUAUUUGUUUGAUGCCGGGGUUUGCAUGUCUGACCGGAAUGUCUGUUAGCCGAACUGAUAUAUUGAAUACUUUUUUUCAAGACCAGACUACAACCUGCCUGCUGAGUGGGCUUUAUGUCUUCAUUAGUUGACCGUCAUUCAUAAAGUCGUUGUCAUUUCAGACUCAUUCGUAGCCUUUGGUUGAUUUGGAUCCCCUCAAUUCCCUUAAACAUAUCAACCUUAUUGGAAUAAAAACUGCUUGUUUGACGUUUUUAACUCGUGUCUGUGGUAUUGUAAAUUUUAUCGAAUUGCCCAAUCUGGAAUCUGUGAUGUUAUGCUAACUUAACAUACAACUAACGAGAAAUUUCCGCAUCAAAUAUAUCAGUACAUAGCUUUGGAUUCAUACUAUCAUUUUAUGAUAGACAAAUAAUAGGGAGAAUACAGCAUAAAAAUGUCCAACCCUACACUUUACAGCAACUAUAGAAUAUACAUGCCCCACGCCAGGAACCGCCGGUUUAAAAAGUGCACUUAUCUUAUGUUUUUUAGCCCAAAAAGGUCCCAAAAAUAUUCGCCUCGCUUCGCUCUUCAAUCUUUAAAACUUCGCCCCCCAUUUCCAAAUUCCUGGAUCCGCCCCUGAGAAUGGUUCAAAUUUGAUUUCACUUAUUGGAAUACUCAAAUAGCUAUUUUAAAACCAGUUGGAUCCCGGACAAAUCAAUGUAUGCACUGUAUGAAAAUUCUGCAUUUUUUUUAGGAUAUAAGGUUCAAAUAUUAUCUACUUCUAUUCACAUGCAAACGUAGAAGGGACCCUCCUCCCUUUAUUUUCCACUGAAUAGAGGGGCAUCAUGUAUAUAAUAAGCGACUUGUAUUGUUAUGUUGCAUUGAAAAAAGUAAGAUGAAAUGCUUAAAGGGGCACUAGCUGUCAAGUUCAUGUUCACCAAUUUGACUCAAAUUCUCAUAUUUUAUUUGUAACAAUGUAAAACAUUUUUCCAAACUAUCAAAAAUAUAACAUAAACAAUUUACAUGGUCUCAAUAAGAUUUAGUUUCGUUUUGUGUGAAUUUUAGAAAUGACGACUUCUAAUUAAAUUUCGAGUUGUCCUUCUAUGACCAUAUACGCGAUGUAAACAUAAACAUAGAUAGAUAGAUUAAGCAUCUCGUGCAGUUGGAGUUUUAUAGGUCUACUAAAUUUUGUGUUAUAGAUUAAAAAUGUUUUAUCGUCGUUUUUUCCUAAUUUAGACAUUUUUUUUGUGGAUCGAACCAGUCAGUUAAAUUAUUCACCUUUGUUUCACUUUCAUUGUUGACAUUCUUUUCCUUUAAAUAACCGUACACGGACUAUGCAUACGUUAUUCUAUCUCUUUCUACGGGGUUGAAUUGGAGUUCACAUGAAUACAGGUUAAUAAAAUUAACGGUACCAAUUUUCUUGCACCAGAUGCGCAUUUCGACAAUACAUGUCUCUUCAGUGAUGCUCGUGGCCAAAAUAUUUGAAAUCCAAAGCUUAUAUAAAAGAUGAAGAGCUAUAAUCCAAAAGGUCCAAAAAGUAUAGCCAAAUCCGUGAAAGGAACCAGAGCUUUGCAUGAGGGAGAUACAUUCCUUAAUUUAUAAUAAUUUCUAUCAUUUUGUAACAGUAAAUUUUAAUAACACAAAAAAAUCCGUAUUUUCAUGCCAGUACCGAAGUACUGGCUACUGAGGUGGUGAUACCCUCGGGGACUAAUAGUCCACCAGCAGAGGCAUCGACCCAGUGGUAGUAAUAAAAUUGCAAGUGAAUAAUUCAUUAUCAAUUUUUAUUAGCUUAAUUUGAAAAAUUUGAAUCAUUUUAGCAGCUAAAAAUGAAUUAUUAUUUAACUAUUUCACUUUCAUUAAUGUUUGAACAAAACAACAUUUAGAUUUUUUUAUAUAUCUCGUAGCUAGCUAUAUAUAGUGCCCCUUUAAAUAAGAGAAAAUAAGAUGAACUAUGAAAGUGUUUUCAAAUGAAAAUCAAACGCAAUAAUAAUAAACAGCUGUGUCAUGAGCGCAUGAUACCCCUGUCACGUUUUCAGAGAAUAAAGUUUAAUAACUUCUCAAUGUCAUAUCAGAAAUUUAUGAAAAACUAAAGGGAGGUUAUCUUAAUAGAUAUAAACCAAUCAACAAAGUUUUAUGGAAACUGCUCAAAGCACUUUAAAUGUGUUGUCUGAAAGCUGGAAAACCUAUUUGUUUCAAGAAUAAAAUCCGAUAACUCGGAAAUGUAAUAAACCUUUUUUUUUUAAUCAAAAGGAGGUUACGUCAAUAAAUAUAAAAAAAUCACCAUAGUUUCAUAAGAACUUCGGAAAUAAUUUUUGAGUUAUUUCAGAAAAUAGGAAUAUCCCCCGUUUUUAAUUAUUAAUUUGAUACCUCAUAAGUCAGAAUCAUAAAAUCGGAAAUUUAUAAAAAUCAAAAGGAAGAACAAUGUUUGGUUUAAGUGUUGUUGAGUUAAUGUCCGACAUGUUGACGAAGGAAAAACAGACGGACAACUGUAUACCUAAACUGUAUACCUAAAUAUGUCCUGUAAAUGGGCAAAAUAAGGGGGUUAUUAUCCCAAAUUUUCUUUUGUUUUAUGAACAAUUAAUUUAUUUAGAACUUUGUUUAUACAUUUCAGAAAUUUCCUUUUAUCUUUUAUGACAUAUUUUUAAUAUAAAUGUAAAGUUAAAAAGAAUAUUCAUUUCUUCAAAAUGACAACAAAUUAUCAAUCUAUUCUAUUUUAAAAAAAAAUGAAAAUUUAUAAAAUAUAUUAAAAGGUUAUAUUAUAUUCGUUUCACUGUAUCUGAACAUGAUUAAUAAAAAAAAACACUGACUUGAUGUCAAAAUCUUAUAUUGAAUAUUUAUAUGUAUAGAAGAUAUAUUUAUAUUUCAAGUAAUGUUGACUUUCUUAUCAUUUAAUCUGUGUGUAACAUCUGUGGGCAGUUUAUUAGGAAGAGUGAUAUAUAAAUUACAAGGACUUGAAACUGUGAAGCUAAUCAGUUGUGAAAUUUGAGAUUCCCUCAAAUCUGAGGGCAUUCUUCGGGCUGUACUAUAAAGUAAAUGUGUAGUAUGUUGUUAUUUCUUUUUUUGUAUUAAAUGUAAUACGUUCAGCUAGUAUUUUGUGUUUUACAGUUUUCAAACGUUAGAUGGUUUAAUCAGUGUUUAUAUGAUUUAUAUAAAAAAAAUAUUCAUCUUCUUUUUGGGUACAGAUGGAUUUUACAUAUAUUUGGUCAUGAAUAAAUAAACAGAUUUGAAAAACAACACUUGAGGUUCUGCCGACACAAAGAUAUCUGCAUAUAUGUAACAUAUAUGGUACAUACUUGGAACACUACCACUGAGGACUUGAUUGAUGAAUUAAACGAAUGAAACAUACAAAUGCACAAACAUACAUGAAAACACAAGUGAUAACUACUCUUAUUAAUUUGUAUUAUUUUAUCUUUUUUAUCUAUAAAGGAAUAACUGUAUGUUUUACAUUGUACAUAUACUGGUGAUUUAUUACCGGUAAUGUCUUGGUAAAAUGAGAGUGGUUGAUAAAAGGGUAACCUAAAAAGUAAAAUCACAAAAAUACUGAACUCCGAAGAAAAUUCACAAUGAAAAGUCCCUAAUUAAAUAGAAAAAUAGAAAAUUCAGCCACAACAAACAACUAGAUAACAAUUGUCAUAUUCCUGACAUUGUACAGGCAUUUUCUUAUGUAGAUAAUGGUGGAUUGGCUCUAGUUUUAUAGCUAGCUUAAACUCUCACUUGUAUGACAGUCACGUCAAAUUCCAACGAUGCGUGAAAAAACAAACCUAAAAUACCAUUAGUCACACUGUAUACUUCAUUAUUAUAGGCUGCACACCAUUUACAAAAAUUGAGUUGCACAAGAACCCACAUGUGGCUUAAAAAUCUCUAAAACUAAACAAAAACAAAUAUGACAUGGGUAGAAUUAUGCAGCAAGUCAAUAAACUCAUCAUAGAUGCCACGAUUAUAUUCUAUAUUUUCGCCAGACGCGCUUUCGUCUUCAAAAGACUCAUCAGUGACGUUCGAAUGCAAAAAAGGUAAAAAGGCCAUAUAAGGUACGAAUUUGAAGAGCGUUGAGGACAAAAAUUCCUAAAAUUUUGCCAAAUACAGCUAAGGUCAUAUAUUCCAGAGGUAGACCAGCCUUAGUUUUUCAAAAUUUUCGUAAACAGUUAAUUUUUAAAUAAAGGCAACAGUAGUAUACCGCUGUUCGAAAUUCAUAAAUCGAUUGAGAAAAAAAUAAACCUGGGUUACAAACUAAAACUCAGGAAAACACAUCAAAUAUAAGAGGAGAACUACGACACGACAGAAACACAACAUUAAAUUGUUUCACACACAGAAACGAACUAUAGUAUUACAAUGGCCAUUUUUCUUGGUACAGGACAUUUUAAUAAAAGAAAAAUGAUGGGUUGAAGCUGGUUUUUUGGCAUGCCAAAACUCCCGCUUUUAUGGCAAUGCAAAGGAUAUCAACAUCCCAGUAGUUAGCUCUUCAGUGUUUACAUGAAUACUUACUGUAUGGUCAUUUAAAUAAAUUUCCUGAUACAAAACUUUGAAUUUUUUUUAAAAACUAUGGAUUUUCUCAUCCAAGGAAUAGAUUACCUCGGCCGUAUUUGGCACAACUUUUUCGAAAUUUGGGCCACCAAUGCUCUGCACUUUUGUACUUGUUUUACUUCAUAACUAUUUUGAUCUGAGCAUCACUGAUUAGUCUUAUGUAAACGAAACGCGCGUCUGGCGUAUUAAAUUGAAACCUGGUACCUGUGAUAACUAUUUACACCACUGCGUCGAUGCCACUGCUGGUGGAUGUUGCGUCCUCGAGGGUAUCACCAGCCCAGAAGUCAGCACUUCGGUGUUGACAUGAAUACUAAUUAUAUGAUAAUUUUGAUAAAUUUCCUUUUACAAAACUUUGAAUUUUUCGAAAAUCUAAGGAUGUCCUUAUCCCAGGAGUAGAUUACCUUAGCUACAAUUUUUUGGAAAUAAACUCAUCAUAGAUACCAGGACUAAAUUUUGUAUAUACGCCAGACGCGCGUUUCGUCUACAAAAGACUCAUCAGUGACGCUUGAAUCCAAAAAAGUUAAAAAGGCCAAAUAAAGUACGAAGUUGAAGAGCAUUGAGGACAGAAAUUCCUAAAAGUUUGGCCAAUUUUGAGUCAUCAAUGCUCUUCAACUUUGUACUUGUUUUUCUUCAUAGAUAUUUUUAUCUGAGCGUCACUGAUGAGUCUUAUGUAGACGAAACUCGCGUCUGGAGUAUAUACAAAAUUUAGUCUAGCGUAUUAAAUUAUAAUUCUGGUACCUUUGAACACCAUUUACACCACUUGGUCGAUGCCACUAUUGGCAGAAGUUGCGUCCCCGAGGGUAUCACCAGCCCAGUAGACAGCACUUCAGUGUUGACAUGCAUACUAAUUGUAUGAUCAUUUUUAUAAACUUCCUGUUCCUUCGAAAAACUCAGAACUUUCCUAUCCCAGGAAUAGAUUACCUUAAGUUAGCCGCAUCAAGAAUGCUCUUCAACUUUAUACUUGUUUUGCUUCAUAACUAUUUUAAUCUGAGCGUAACUGAUGAGCCUUAUGUAGACGAAACGCGCGUCUGGCGUAUUAAAUUAUAAUCCUAGUACCUUUGAUAACUAUUUACACCACUGCGUUGAUGCCACUGCUGGUGGGUGUUUUGUCACCGAGGGUAUCAAAACUUUGAAUUUUUCGAAAAACUAAGGACUUUCCUAUCCCAGGAAUAUAUUACUUUAGCCGUAUUUGGCACAACAUAACAUGAUAGGACUACAAUACAAAUAAAUGGGAGAACAUAUAAAACAGAAAAACACACGAAUAAUAGCUAACAAAAGGUACCAGGUUUAAAAUGUAAUACAUCAGACGCGUCCACACAAGACUAAGCAGUGACGCUCUGAUGAAAAAAAGUUCGAAAGCCAAAACAAGUAAUAAGUUAAAGAGCAUCGAGGACCAAAAUUUCCAAAAAGUUGUGCCCAAUACGGCUAGGUUUUUUUCUGCCUGGGAUAAGAAUAUACUUAUUAUUUAGAAUAAUUCAUACAUUUGCAAACAGUAUUUUUUUUUUAUAAAACAAUGAAAAUAACAAUGCUAAUUCAUGUCAGCACAGACGUGCUGAAAACUGGGCUGGUGAUACCCUCGGGGAAUUUUAACUCCACGAGCAAUGGCAUCGACCCAGUGGUUGUUAAUAAACUCAUCAUAGAUAUCAGGAUUCAAUUUUAUAUUUAACCCAUUCGUGCGUUUCGUCUACCGUUUUCGCGUUUUCGCCAUAUUGAAUAUGAAAGUCGAAAACGGGAAAACGCGAAAUGGCAUUAUCCGGCCACCAUAAGAUAACGAUAAUAUAUUUCUUUUAUGAUUAAGUACGAGCGUUAGCGAGUACUAAUGAAGUCAGGGAUUAUCAUUCUCUUGGAUAUACUUAAUUAAUCUAUUUAUUUGUAAUACUUGUACAAUAAGUAUUAUAAAUAGUAUUAUAGAAGCACUUUGUUUAUAUAUAUGGAAUAUUGUAAAGUGCUCAAUGCACAAAUGAUAUUUGUGUUUGGUUGACUUGUAUUCAAGAAUUAGUUUCAUUGUCAGUGCAAUGUUUGUAAAAAGUAAACACACAAAAAUACUGAACUCCGAGGAAAAUUCAAAAAGGAAAAUCAAAAAUCAAAAGGCAAAAUCAAAAGUCCAAACACAUAACAACUGUCAUAACAACUGUCAUAUUCCUGACUUGGUACCGGCAUUUUCUAAUGUAGAAAAUGGUGGAUUGAACCUGGUUUUAUAGCUAGCUAAACCUCUCACUUGUAUGACAGUCGCAUCAAAUUCCAUUACAUUGUCAACGAUGCAUGAACAAAACAAACAUACUCAAAGAGUAAAAAUGUCAAAAAUAGGGGUACAACAGUCAAUAUUAUGUUAUCAUCUUAAUAUCACUACAUAAACAACAAAUGUAACAAAGUAGCACAAAAAGGCAUACAUCAAAUUUAACAUUCUCAUUUUGCUUAUCUUAUACGGCUGAAUUUAUCUAUGUAAAGUUACCCAAAUGAAAGUUUUCAUUACUGGUGUAAAAUUGCGCGUUUGAAAUUCGCACAGGUAGACAUAAAAAUAUUUUGUCGUAUACGGCAUACAUAAUGCAGACUCACGUAAAGUAGAUAUAACAAAAAACAGACUUACAGCAAAAUAAUAAAUAAAUAAUGUGUGUUCAAGUAUGACGGGACACAUAAGUACAGUUUCACGUCAAAUACGGCUGAAUUUUCUAUGUAAAGUCUACCCAUAAAUGAUAGAAGUUUUCAUUACUGGUGUAAAAUGCGCGUUUGAAAUUCGCACAGGUAGACAUAAAAUAAUUUUGUCGUAUGAGGCAUACAUAAAUGCAGACUCAGUAAAGUAGAUAUACAAAAACCAGAUUAACAGUAAAAGUAAUAAUAAUAAAUAAAAUAAUGGUGUGGUUCAAAGUAUGACGGAUAAUAAGUACAGUUUCCGUCAAAUGUAUAUCAUAAAAAACAGACUAAACAGAAAAGUAGUCUUAUUGAAUAAAAUAGUUAGUCAUUCAUAGUAUGUCAAGAUCCUUAAGUAAAAUUAAAAUCAAUAAAUGAAAUAAUUUUGCCGUCAAAGUAUGUGGUUUUACGUAACCACAGAGUCACUUCAAAUGAAUAUCUAAAAAAGACAUAUAAAAGAAUACUAUAAUACGUAAUUAAGAGAUACAAACGUCAGACGCAAAAUCUAUACUUCAAGACAUCUUGUAUUAUUUGUGAAGUUGAUACGGAAUAUUUAUCAACAAGUUCUGGGUAUCUUCGAUGAACUUUUUUAGAAAAAGGACGAGACGUUCUUUGACAUACCCUGGUUCAUCAAUUUCUGCUCAGACACUGGUGACGUUUUACAAAGUCUGCAUAUGAGCUGCAAGCUCUUGAAUACCUAAUAAGUUGGGAAAUGUAUAUUCCAUAUGCAGGUGAAGUUGGUAUAUUACUACUAAGGUGGGAAUGAUAAUUUCAAAUUAAAUCGUCUCGUUUGUCAUAGAUUCUGGUACUGAGAUGACUGUGUAUGUCAAAUUCGAGGUAUAAGUCUAAAAUGAGGCAGAGGAAGCCGUGUCUGUGGUCUCUUAAUUUCUAGUCUGGUGGGUAUAUUAAUGGAAUCCAAUCAGAAAAGUUCGAUUGUUAAUGGAAAGAAAUCAUCAUAUAUUCUGAAAUGAAAUUAAAUAACCUGGCUUCUUUGAUCUUCUUGUUUUUGACAAGUGUCUGAAGGAACUCCGAUUCAUAUGAAAUAAGAGAGGUCGGCAAGGAGAGGCGCACAGUCGUUCCAUAGGAAUGCCGACAAUUUGUUGAAAAGUCUACUCCAAAUUCAACAAAAUUGUUGUCAAUAAGAAUACCAGCAUACUGACACUUGUUCCUCUGUGUAGUAUUUUACCCUUUUGUUCCUUAUUAACAAAAUAUGCCUUAUGUAUCCAAAGUGAUAAAUUUAUAGCGUAUGUACCAUUUUUAUGAUGAAAGCAGUGAAUUAUUUCUUUUAGACGGGUUUCAUUUCACAUGGGAAUGGUUGUAUACAAGUGUGAAAAUCAAAGUUUUAAAAAACUAAUUCAGAAAAAGACCGAGAUUUAAAAUACCAGAAGUUCUUUAGAGUUUUCAGAAUCCACAUAUGGUUAAUACCACACGUGAGUAAACAGUUUCACAGUAUAUCUGAAGACCCUCUUUAAUGCGGACAGAAUUUUAGUCAAUCUAGAGACAAUUCUUUAGUGAACAAGCAGAUGAGCCGGCAAUGUACCGUUGUUUGUACGGAAUUUUGUGAAGUUAGGUAUCCAAUACAACAAGGUAAGUCCUCCGAUUUGUUGUUCAAUGCAAUGUUCAUAGAAGCAGAAGGAGCUUAUGAAUUCAGCGCAAAAUCACAUCCUUGUCAAAUGAUAUGUUUUUGUAUGGGAUACCUGAGUGUUCAUUUAUUCCUAAUUUUUUAUAAGUAUUACGAUUUACAUACAAAGACAACAUUAUUUUGAAGCUUUGUCCGCAGCACAACAACAACUACUUAUCUUGAAGAGUUGAUAGACAUUCACAGCCUCUUUGUCACUGAAAAUGGACUUAGUCGAUCAUUCACACAGUUUUUCAACUUAUGAAUGCGACGUUUUAUCAGAGACCUGAUUGUUUUGACCCAUUCUGACAAAGUGUCCAGUUGCACUUCUUCUCGCUUAGCCCAUGCUCUGGCGUAGUUCUCAAUGGAAUCCAUAAUAUUUUUGAAGUUUAUGGUUCCAAUUGAUGUGUUGGGGUCUCUUAAACUUAGGACCACGAGAAAUCACCUUUCGGAGAUUUUCAUGUUGAAUUAUGUUUAGAUCCCAGUAAUAAACAUGGCCAGAGGGCUGUAAUUGUAAGGCGAGUUGGAACAGUCACAUGUCAGAGGUUUAUUUAGGUAUUGUUCUAAAUCAAGGUCCUGUAAUGCUUGUUUAUAGUUAAAUAUUUUGGGUACAAUGCUAUAAUCGAUGCAUAACUUCUCAUUUAUGUAUUAGCUACACAUGUUACACUGAUUUAAGAACUCUCUUACUAUAUUGAAAAUAUCUUUUUUUUAAAUGCUAUAGAUAUUUCUUACACAACAAUACAAAGAAAAGGUAGGAGUUGUAUGUUUCCUGGUUGAGAUUAUUAAUGUAAAUCAUGUCAUGUUUAGUGAGGAAUUUUCCUUUUUUUUAAUGUACCGUUAAAAAAUAUUUAAAUACAUUUCAGUUACAACUACGUUUAUUUCACAUCCACUUUUGUGUCCAGCUUUUAACAUUCAAUACUAUUUCAUUAUGACAUGGAAAUGUUCAAAUGUCUUAAAAAAAAAUUAAUGUUUACAAAACUUAAAUUUAAAUAUCUGGUUGUACAAUGAUCACUCGAAAGUGUAAACAUGUAUUAAAUUCGUUAGACAAUAUUUGGCCAUGUUUAAUGAGUAUUUGGCUUUACAUUUCUAUAAAACAUGACCCAGUUUUGUCUUACCUAUAUGUAAACCAUGCUCUUAGGAAGGGGGUGUUCUAUCAUUUGGGUCUAUUUACAGUUCAAAACAAAGUGCUUUUAUAAUGAGUUACAACCGAUGUUACAACUUCCCUCAAGAACUUUAUUACAUUGAAAGGACUUAUCACACAGUGAUUGACUAUGACUAAGAAUAAAAUCGUGAAACAAACAAAAACUUCAAUUGAUACACCCUGGUUCAUUAAAUUUUGUUCUUUGAAUGAAAUUAUAAUAUAUUAAUUAUUAAAAAAAUAUGAACAAAGCAAUGAAAAAAAACUUUAAGAUAUAAAGUAAGUAACCUACAAUGCACAUGUACACAUUUAAAUCUUUUUAUAAAUGGAUAUCUAAAACUUUAUUGCCAAUUCAUUAAAAAAAAAAUUACAAGAACAUUUUAAAUAUCUUAAAAGUAAAGAUUUAUUUAGGAGAUAAUGGCAAGCUCUGUACAGCCAUGCAGUGUAUGUGAAAAUCAACAUGUCCUCAAACCUGCGUAUAUAUGGUGUUCAGAUUGCGAUGAGGGGCUCUGCAUAGACUGCAGUUAGCAUCAUGGAAUAUCCAAGUCAACACGAAAACAUGUCACUGUACCGAUAUCAGAAUAUCGUGAACUGCCGUCUUACAUUACAAAUAUUAAGCAAACAUGUAGUACACAUGAUGCCAAUUAUUUGAUUUACUGCAAUGAACAUGAAUGACCUUGUUGCAGUAAGUGCAUUGUUGAAAAACACUCAAAAUGUCAAAAUAUUUCCAAUCUGGAUGAUGUUGUCAAAAACACAAAGAUUUCAAACGCUUUUUUGGAAAUUGAUGAAACAUUAAAUGAAGUUGCUGAAAACAUCAAACGGAUCCGUCAAGAUAAAAAUGGUAAUAUGAAAAAAUUGUCCGAAAAAAGAAAACAGAUCGAAUGUGAAAUUCGACACGUUCGGUUAAAUAUCAAUCAACAUCUAGAUAAACUGCAAGAGGACUUCAUAUCAGAAUUAAACGAAACAGAAAGAUGAGAAAAAACUAAAAUCCGUCAGUUAUUGAAAGAUUUAGAUGAGCAUGAAAGUAAAGUUGCAGAGCACCAAAAGCACAUAGCACACAUAAAAGAAUACGCAUCCGAUCUACAGACCUUUCUUGCACUAAAACAACUUGAAUUGGGUGUAAUUGAAAACGGUCAGUUCAUUCAUUCACUUACUGAAAGUGAUGUUCUUGACCGUGUGGAGAUCAAGUUCAACAUAAAUACAUCACUGACAGACAUUGCAAAUAGUGUUCAUAAUUUUGGAAAAGUAUAUAUUGACAACUCCAGUUACGUAGUGAAAAUUGCAAAGAAAAAAACAACAACAAGCACAGUUGAUUUUACCUAAAGUAUCACCCAUCGUGCCCAUUGAUAAUAUACAAGUCCAGUUGCAACAAACUAUAAAUACCAAAUGUUCGUAUGCCACAGGAUGUUGCAUAUUGCCUGAUGGUAGAUUAUGUUUCAUCUGUCCUUCAUUCAAAAAAGUAAUUGUAGUUAAACAAGACGGGUCGGUUGAUUUUUCAUUAAACGUACAAGCAGCAUAUGGUGUAGCAUACAACAAUGAGGAUAACACUAUAGCCGUAUCAUCCUGUUGGGGUGAUCAAGGGAAACAAAUAACAAUAAUUGAUUUAACGGAACAAAAAGUUCUGAAAACUCUUCUUCCUGGUGGACAAACCACUGGUAUAGCGGUGACAAAUAACACACUGCUGUAUCACGUAAAAACCAAAGCCAUUCGGGCCAUGGAUCUAACUGACAAAACAACACGUGAUAUAAUUACUGAGAACCUCGACUCAGAAGUCAACAUAACAAUAUUUGGACACAAACUUUAUUAUUCCAGUUAUAAGUAUCAUACAGUAGUAAGCUGCGAUCUACAAGGAACAAAACAAUGGACAUUCAAAAAUGAAAAAGUUUUGAGUCAUCCAUGUGGAAUAUCAGCUGACAAUGAUGGUUACGUGUAUGUUGUAAGAUGUAGAUCAGAGAAUGUCGUGGUUAUCUCCCCUGAUGGACAAAAACAUAGAGAACUCUUGAGAAGAAGAGAUGGCUUAGCUUCCCCAUUGUCAAUUAACUUUCGAAAGGAAACUAAACAGUUGUUAGUUGCAACUAUAAGUAAUAAAACAUAUCUGUAUAACAUAUCUAGAAAUUAAACUACUGCAAUUUUAUCUAUAAUGCAUUUUUGAAUGAAAUAAAAAUGGUGGAGUUAUAACCGCAUGCAGACACAGACACACAAUUGUUUGCACUUGCUCUUAUAGAAAUGUAUAUUAUGUUGUCAUUUCUAUUUUCUAUUAAAAGUAAUACUUUUAGUUAGUCUUUUGUCUCGUACAGUUUGAAAACAUAAGAUAUACUAACUCAUGUUUAUGUGAUUUAUAAAUAUGCAUCUAAAUAUACAUCCUCUUUUUGGGGUCCAGAUGGGUCUAAUAUUUUUGGUCAUGAAUAGAUAAAUAGACUAAAAAGACAAAACUUGAGUGUCUGCUGACAAAUAGGGAUUUAUAUAUAUAUAUGGAACUGACAUGGUCUUUGUAACAAUACCAUUGAGAAGUUGGUUGAUUUAUUCAAUGAAUGAGACACAAAACUACAUACAUACAUGGAAACACAAUUGUUAGAUUCUCUUGUAAUUGUUUUAUUUAUUUUUUUAUCUGAGAAAUAAGAGAAGUUUGUAAGUAUAGCAUAUACAGGUGAUUGAUUACGAGUAAUAUGUAGAUAAAAAGAAAAGGUCUCAUAAAAGGAUACUUAAAAGUACGUAAAGGCAAAGGAGAAUAUAGUAGUAUGAUUGGUUGCUGAGAAAAGUAGUUUCACAAGAACCAAACUGUGGCCUACAAAUCUGAAAAAAAAACUUAAGAAGAACAAAUCUGACAUGAGUUAAAUUAUCUGGUGGGUCAAGGUAACACUCCUUCGGAUUUUUCAGAAAAUCGGACUACCCAUUUUGUAAUUAAUGCCUUUCAAAUGUCUAUUGUUUUGCAGUUCAAUUUUACAGAUUUAAGUUAUAAUCUUAAUUAGGAUAAGGAAACUAUAUAUUGAGUUGGUAAAGCCAAUCUUUCCAAAGUAAAAAUUUUAACAAAAUGUGAUUUAGGAGAAAGUCAACAUGGACGAAUAGCCAAUUGAUUUCUUACAGGAGUUAUUGCCCUUGAAAAGCAUAUUUUACUUUUUAUUUGCAAAAACUAUAAUAGAUAAAGGAAAAUUUAGAAACAAACGUGUUCAGCUAAAAUAAGACCUACAAAUACGUCAACUUGUCAAUAAUUGUCAAAUGACCCCUCAUUAGAAUUGUUGCCUUUUAAAGUUGGUUUGACGAAUUACAAUACAACUAAUUGCAAUGAAGGGAAAACAAUUGCAUAUCUUUAACAGGUGAGCGGUUUUGUGCACUAUUUGCUUCUUAUUUGUCUGAAAUUUAACGACGAAAGGUUAAAAAUCUCUAUUUUUUAAAGGUUUCGUGUUGCUCGUUGCUUAUUUUUCAAUGCUGCGUUGGAAAUUGUUGUUUUCUUAACAUUUUUUGUCUUUAUUUUGGUAUUGUCCUUAUAUUUGAAGUUAUAAGUUUAAAUGUCCGUUUGAUAUCUUUCAUCUGUAUUUUACGCCAGUCAAUUUAAAAUAAAGCGCGAAUUUCUUAGCAUGAAAAUUGUAUAUUGGUUUGUCACGUUAAGAUCGAUAGGUUCAUGUGGGAUUCUUUUUAAGUAACUGAAAAGGUCGUAUAACCUGCGUGGAGCUUGCACAUUCAGCUUCUGUGACACGUUUGUUUGUUCAGUUAUGUAAUUAUCAAAAUAUUAGCAAUUAAUAUUGAAGGUAAUACGGUUCAGAAAAAGUCGACUCAAGUUCAUACGAACUUAUUCUUAAUUUACUAGAAUCGCAAGAAUAAAACAAGGGGUCGAAAUUUCAAGCAGUUUACGUGCCACUUUAAUGCUAUAGGAAGGAGUUCUUAUGAUGAUUAACAGUAAAAUAACAAAAAAAAAUACUCCACAGAUAAUUCAAAGAUUAUUUUGGGUUUUCUUUAAAUGCAGCAAAUAAAUCUGAAGUUCAUGAGUUCUGUUUGCAUUUCUAAAUGCUGCACAUGUAAAUACAAGGGAUCAUGGGAGAAAAAAGGCCAAGCAUGCAUCAAGAGUGAAACACAGGAUUGGCAAGCAUAAUGGUUAGGUGGAGUGUAUACGUACGUUCAUAUUUCUCGCCUUAUUUUUACAAAUAGUCAUACUGUGGCCAUAUGAUUUCAUACUAUUUGUUUGUCUUUAGCCUUGACCAAAAAUUAAAGAUUAAAGUCAUUAUUGUACACUAAUUAAACAUUGGUCAUCAUUAGAAAGCACGUAAAAUAAAGUCAUUAGUGUAAGUGUAAAGGUUAUGGCACUGAUUUGAUAAUCCGUAUAUAUUGCAUUGCAAAGUUUUGUCUCUAAUGCAAUCAUCAGUAUACAUGGAGUGCAAAGAGAUGUCUCUAAUUUUUAGUUCUAUGUUGAUAUUUCGCAGUUCUAACUUAAUAUUUUGAAGUUCUAAGUUUAUAUCUCUCAGUUUAGGUUUGGAAAACCAUAGCAGCAUUUCUUUUAAUGUCUGUCUGUGACCUAUUCCAUGGAAACAUUUCUUCUAUCGACAAUAUUAUUUUUUACAGUUGACAUUCAAUCAAUUAUCUGUGUUAAAAUGACACUUACUUGGCCUUCACACUUAUGAAUAACCAGAAAAAUCUAUUUUGCAGUUUUUGUUUUUCUGAGACACUUCAAACUUCAUAAAUACCAGAAACAUAUAUAAAAAAAACUACUUAAUGUAGCAAGACGUUUAAAAGAUAGGCCAAAAUUUCUAUCCCUAUCCAAUAUACCCUCAUUUACCAGUGGCAGUCCAAUUUUCCCUAACCAUUAUCCCGGAUGACCUUUUCAUCCUGAACAUGCAUGAAAUAUUUGCCAUUGACGUUAAGCAACCAACAAUCAAUCAAUCAAAUUAAAAGAUAGGCAAAUGAUAUUAAAGGUUUGUUCAACCCCAUCAUUCGAAAAUAAACUGAUAGCAACAUGGCUAAACUAGAGGCUCUAAAGAGCCUGUGUCGCUCACCUUAGUCUAUGUGAAUAUUAAACAAAGGACGCAGAUGGAUUCAUGACAAAAUUGUGUUUUGGUAAUGGUGAUGUGUUUGUACAUCUUUCUUUACUGAACAUUCUUGCUGCUUACAAUUAUCUGUAUAUAUAAUGAACUUGGCCCAGUUAGGUUUCAGUUGAAAAUGUUAGUAAAAAUUUACAAAUUAUGAAAAUUGUUAAAAAUUUACUAUAAAGGGCAAUAACUCCUAAAGGGGUCAACUGACCAUUUCAGUCAUGUUGGCUUAUUUGUAAAUCUUACUUUGCUGAACAUUAUUGCUGUUUACAGUUCAUCUCUAUCUAUAAUAAUAUUCAAGAUAAUAACCAAAACAGCAGCAAAAUUUCCUUAAAAUUACAAAUUCAGGGGCAGCAACCCAACAAUGGGUUGUCCCAUUCAUCUGAAAAUUUCAGGGCAGAUAGAUUUUGACCUGAUAAACAAUUUUAUUCCUGUCAGAUUUGCUCUAAAUGCUUUGGUUUUGGAGUUAUAAGCCAAAAUCUGCAUUUGACCCCUAUGUUCUAUUUUUAGCCAUGGCGGCCAUCCUGGUUGGUUGGCCGGGUCACCAGACAUAUUUUUUAAACUAGAUACCCCAAUGAUGAUUGUGGCCAAGUUUGGUUUAAUUUGGCCCAGUAGUUUCAGAGGAGAAGAUUUUUGUAAAAGUUAACGACGACGGACGACGGACCCUUAGGGUCAGGUGAGUUAAAAAGAAGGGGAAAAAGACGAACAACAGUACACUAAACACAACAUUAAAAAAUCUAAAGACUUUGCCAUACAACCUCCUCCGAAAACUUAUUGAUCGCAAGAGCUCCCAAAGGGUAAUCAGAUCCUACUCCAAAUGUGGCACUCUUUGUGUUUGUCAUGUGAGUACCAACCCUAUGUGAGGUCGUAUUCGGUAGGUCACAUUCGGGGAAAGGGCACGGAAUGUGAAGUAACAACAAUUAUGGUGCCAGUUGAAUUAAAGAAGUCAUGAUUUCAAUUUGAACACUUGGUGUAUUAGCUUCAUUAUGCAACCAUUUAUUUAGGAAAUUAUGAUAGGAAAUAGGAGAUAUACAGGUGCCGCUGGAUUGUUGCUCCAUAAAAAUGGAAAAUUCACAAUUGAAAAGCUGACAUCAUAUUUUUUGUUGUAACGUUUAGUCCAAAAUGUCGUCUUCAUAAAAAGUAUUUCAAAAAAGUAAAGGGAAAUAUCAAAAAGGGACAUUCAAACACUUAACCAAAAAUUUACUUGCAACGUUUUGAUGAACAAAAACUAACAAAAUCAAAAAGACAAACAACGAUAUACAAAACAAAACAUAGAAACAUAAAACUGAGAAAAAAGAACCCCACUUAAAAUCCAGGAAAUAUCCGGUGCUCCGGAAUAGAAUCCGAUCCUUCUCAAUAUUCAGCCCCCAUCGUGUUGCUCAUAUAUGUUCGAACCCAGUAAUAAGCCUAGUUAGAUUGGUCAAAUAGGGGAAACGAGGACAAGAUAGUAAUUGUGACAUUAGGAACAUAACCGUCCUUUUUUAAUUUACACAAGUUUGUACAAAAACAAUUUUGUAUACGACAACAAACUACAACUACUGAAUUAGAGGCACAAGACUUUUGACAGGUACAAACAAAACUUUUGGCGCUAACCCUCCCUCUCACCAUGGAUAGGGGGCUGGGGGGGGGUAAAUUGCUAAACACAAGAUAAACUAUGCACAAACAUAAACACAAACCAAAUAAUAAAAGAAACAGCACAAAAAACACAAACACUGGAUUACCGGCUAUUGACUUGAGACAGGUACAUAAAGAAUGGGAAGGGGUUAAACUCAUUAAACUCAUUAAACUCGGUAUAGCAGUACAACAUUAGAAAACAAAACUUAAAAAAUCAGUUGAAAAGGGAUAACCUUAUCAGAUAUAUAGAAGUAGAACUACAUCUAACAUCUUCUGUUAAAAGGUUUGUCAAUGUUGAACAAAUGUAAAAUGAUUAAUAUUUUACCAAUCUUUAACAGUCGAUAUGUUAUUGUUGUUGUAGAUUAUGGCAAGCUUUGUACCUUCGUGUUGUGUAUGUGAAUAUCAACAUGUCUUUGAAACUGCAUCCAUAUGGUGUUUAGAUUGUGAUAAGGGCCUCUGUAUAAACUGUAUUAAGUAUCAUGGAAUUUCAAUAGGGAAAAGCACACAUGUAACUAUACCGAUAUCAGAGUAUGAAAAUCUACCUGAUUACAUAACAAAUAUCAAGCAGACAUGUAAUACACAUGAUGAAAAUUAUCAGAUUUACUGCAAUUAGCAUGAAUGCCCUUGUUGUAGUAAGUGCAUCGUUCAAAAUCACACAAAAUGUAAAACUAUUUCCAAUCUUGAUGAAGUUGUCAAAAACUCAAAGACCUCAAACACUUUUUUUGGAAAUUCAGGAAACAUUAAAUGAAGUAGCCGAAAACAUCAAGCGCAUUCGUCAAGAUAAACAAAGCAAUUUGAUAACUUUGUCUGAAAAAUUAAAACAGAUCGAAUGGGAAAUUCAACAGGUUCGGUCUAAUUUCAAUGAAUAUCUGGAUAAACUGCAAGAGGACUUCAUAUCAGAAUUAAACGAGACAGGGAGAAGAAAAAAAACAAAAAUCCAUCAGUUAAUGAAAGCUUUAGAUGAGCAUGGAAGUAAAGUUGUAGAGCACCAAAGGAACGUAGCACACAUAAAAGAAUACGCAUCCGAUCUACAUACUUUUCUAGCACUAACACAACUUGAAAUUGGUGUAACUGAAAACGGUGAGGUCAUUCAUUCACUUCCUGAAAAUGAUGUUCUCAAUCGUGUGGAGAUCAAGUUCAACUUUAAUACAUCACUAAAAGACAUGGUAAAUCAUGUUGCUGUGUUUGGCAAAGUAUAUAUUGACAACUCAAGUACCUCACUGAACAUUGUAAGAACAAAACAACAACAAACUCAGUUCAUAUUAUCUCAAGUAUCACCCAUCGUGCCCAUUGAGAAUAUACAAGUCCAGUUGGAAAAAAAACAUAAAACUCGAAUCAUCAAUCGUCCGAGAAUGUUGCAUAUUGCCUAAUGGUAGAAUUGUGUUUACGCAUCCUUCAUCAAACAAAUCAUCUGUAGUUAAACAAGACGGGUUCGUCGAUUUUUCUUUGAAUGUAACAGUAGCACAUGGUGUAGCAUACAACAAUGAAGAUAACACUAUAGCUAUAUCAUCCUGAUGGUAUAUUCAUGGAAAACAAAUAACAAUAUUUGAUUUAACGGAACGAAAAGUAAAAUUAUUUUUUUUUCACUCGGUGGCCUAACCACUGGUAUAGCGGUGCCAAAUAACACACUGCUGUAUCACAUUAAAAAUAAAGCAAUUCGAGCCAUGGAUCUUGCUGACAAAUCAACAUGUGAUAUCAUUACUGAGAACCUGGACACAAUAAUCAACAUAACUAUAUCUGGACACAAACUUUAUUAUUCCAGCUAUAAGUAUCAUACAGUAGUAUGCUGCGAUCUGCAAGGUACAACGAAAUGGACUUUCAAAAAUGAAAACAAUUUAAAGAAUCCAUUUGGAAUAUCAGCUGAUAAUGAUGGUAACGUGUAUGUUAUAGGAUAUGGAUCAAAGAAUGUCGUAGUAAUCUCCCCUGAUGGACAAACCCAUAGAGAACUCUUAACUAAAAGAGAUGGUUUAGAUUCCCCAUAUUCAAUUAACUUUAGAAAGGAAACUAAUCAGUUAUUGGUUGCAAAUGAAUUUCAGAAAGCGUAUUUGUAUAACAUAUCUAGUAUUUAAAACACUUAAAUAUUAGAUUUUAAUGUAGUAUUGAAAGAAAUGCAAAUAGGGAAUUUAUACAAAAACACAUGCAUACAUGGACUAAAGUUGUUUACACUUCUUCUUACAGCGAAAUGUUUAUUAUGUUAUUGUUUCUUUUUUUGUUGUUGUAUUAAAAGUAAUAUGUUUAGUUAGUAUUGUGUCGCAUUCAGUUUAGGUUAAGUCACUGUUUAUGGGAUUUUCAAGAAAUUAAAAAAAAAACACUUAAUGAGACGAACGAUACCAGAGGGGCAUUCAAACUCAUAGAUCGAAAACUGACAACAAAAUAGCUAAAAAAAAAACAAAAAACAGAAUAGUUAUAGUACAUAAGACAAAACAUAGAAAACUCACAACUUAGCAACACGAACAAAACCGGUAUAUAGUCUUAUUCGGGGGGUCAAAUUCUUGAAUAGGGAACGGGGUUGUAGUUACGACAUAAGCAACAUAUCUAAUAUCAUCUGUGAAACGGUUAUUUUAUAAUGGUCAACCAACUCAUGAUGGCGUCCUUACAAUUUAAGGGAAGAUUUAAACUUCACUCCUUUGAACUCUUGGUUAAUAGCUUCCUUGUGACUUGAGUGUCAGCUGACCAUCAACGGAUUUUUAUAUAUAAGUCAUGGUACAUAAUAAUACCACUGAGAAAUUGAUUGACUUACUUUCUGAAUAAUACAUACAAAAGCAAGGACAUGCAUGGAACACACAACUGCUAGCUUUUCUCAUACAUUUAUCUUUUUAUCUAAGGAAUGAGUGAAAUUUGUAUGUAUCAUCUAUAUAGGUAACUGAUUACCUGUACUGUGAAGAUAUAAUGAGAGUGCUUCAAAACGGAUAACCAAAACUACUCAAUGUUACAUUGGAGACUAUAGUAUGAUUGACUGCACAUCAUUGACCUUAGAAAGUAAAUUUGCACAUAGACCCAACUGUAUUCUACCGUGUGAUAAAUAGCAUCCGAAAACAUCGAUAGUGUUGCCUGCUUAAAAAAGAUUUACAGUCACAAAUUUAAAAAGUUAAAGGAAGUAGCCGAAAACAUCGAAAACAGCUGUUAAAAGUAGCAAUUUGAAAGCAUUGUCCGAAAAAAAAACCUAUAUUUCUAUCAGAGAAUCAAAAUCUACCCGAUUACAUUACAAAUAUUAAGCAUGUAGUUGUAGUAUACAUGAUGAAAAUUAUCAGAUUUACUGCAAUGAACAUGAAUGCCCGUGUUGUAGUGAGUGCAUCGUUGAAAACACAAAAAAUGUCAAAAUAUUUACAAUCUCUUGAUAAUGGAAACUAAUGAAACAUUUAAUGAAGUUGCUGAAAACAUCAAACGGAUUCGUCAACAUAAAAAUGGCAACCUGAAAACAUUGUCCGAAAAAAUAAAAUACAGAUUGAAUGUGAAACUGAACAGUUUCGGUUCAAUAUCAAUCAUCAGCUUUAUAAAUUGUAACAAAACUUCACAUCAGAAUUGUAUGAGACAGAAUAAGGAGAAAACAAAAAUCCAUCAGUUAAUGAAAGAUUUAGAUGAGCUUGGAAGUAAAGUUGUAAAGCACCAAAAAGAACAUUGCAAACACACAACAACGCCCAUUAGAUCUACGGACAUUUCUAGCUCUGAAACAACUUGAAGGUGAUGUUCAUGAAAAAUAUCAGUCCGUUGAUUUAAUAACCAAAAGCGGUGUAACAAACCACCACGAUGAUAACACUGUAGUGAUAACAUCCUGUUGGAACUUCAUUGUCAAUUAAACUAAAAAUAUAUUUAACGAAACGAAAUGUGAAGAAAACUAUCUAUCCUUUUGGAUAACAAUAGGCAUAGCGGUAACAAAUAAAACAAUGCUGUACCAUUAAAACAAAACAAAAAAGCAUUCCAAGCCAGUACUGACCCAAUCAACACCAUGAACACAGAAAUCAGCAUAACUAUAUCUGGACACAAACUUUAUUUUAGUUAUCAUUAUCAUACAGUAGUAUCUGACAAAUUACAAGGAACAAAAACAAAUGACAUUCAAACAUAAAAAUGUUUUGAGGUUUCCUGCUGGUUUACCUGCUGAAAAUGUUGAUAAUGUGUAUGUUAUAGGGAGUUUAAACAGAGACUGUUGUACUGAUCCUACCUGAUGGAUAAAAAUAUUUAAAAAAAAACUUUAGCUAUAUCGGAAGGUUUUAAAUCGCCAUGCUCAAUUAACUUAGGAAGAUUAGCCAGUCAGUUGUAAGUUACAGAUUCAAAAAUUACACUGAUCUCUAUCAGCUAUCCAGAAUUUUAAACCACUGCAAAUGUAUCAAAAUACACUAUUAAAGAUUAAAAUUAAAACAUAUAACUAUAGAGAAAGACAAUUUUUAGCAUUUCUUUAAGUGUAAAUUAUUUUUUAACUUUAUUUUUUAAUUGAAAUAGUAUGUACGUUUUGUUUGUCUAUUUUCGUAUACAACUUUCGACCGAUAGAUUAUUCUGUAUCCGUGCGGUACGUUUGGUUUUUGGUCAAAAUAGGUCUUAUGUUUUACCUAGGACAUGGGUAGGUAAAUAUAAUUAAACAAAAUAUGUGAUGGCGUAAGUUUAUAGAUCCGAGUUUCAAUUCAAAGAACUAACUUGGUACAUUAUUGAAUCAAGUCAAUUGAGAAAUUGAUCGAUUUUCAAUAAUUGAUUGGUAUUUAACACUACUUCUAAUUUGUUUCUACUUUAUCUGACGAUUAGAUUUUAUAGGUGGAGGACGUCUAAGUGCCAUGAAAGAACCAUCAAUAUUCGGUAGACAAACUUGCAAUUCUUGUCAAAAAUAAGAUCAAAGUUAAACUUGAUGACAGGCUUGUGCUACAGUAAAACAGUAUUUUGACUUCUACGUCCACAUGGCUAUUAAGACCAAAAGAAGUUGAUUGAUUCAUCUAAUGUAUGAGUAAAGUUUGUAUGACUAGUAUAAUAUUUUCAAGUAAAUUAAAUGAUUGAUUGAUUGUUGGUUGCUUAACGUCCAGUGGCAAAUAUUUUAAAUUAAAUGAAAAACUAUGUCUGCAUCAUAUAUGUUACAUAAAGGGUAAACUUAAAAAAUAAUUCUUUCAUGCCAUGCUCUAUAUUCAUUUUAACAUGGGUAGGCAUUAUAUAUGUUAAUAUCUUAAUACCGAGCGUUAGCGAGGUAUUAAAUGUUUACAAAUAUAAUGCCUACCCAUGUUAAAAUGAGCAUAGAGCAUGGCAUGAUAGAAUUAUUUCGAUUCUAAUAGGAAUAUUUUGAACUUUUCUACUUCGAAGCGGACCUAUAGUAGACGCUCGAAAAGUCGCCAUUUUGAUGUGAUGAACAAAAAAGUUAUAGAAAAAUCAACAGUUUGUUAAUAAAAAGAAAGAACAGAAACAUUUAAACUUACUUUAAGAAUGUUUUAUUUAAUUUUCUAGCAAACAACAGCAACUGAAAUGUCCUUUUUGAUCUCUGGCGUUAUUCAAAAUUCAUCUGACGUUGCAAUUUCAAUUGUGACGUCAAUCACGUGCAGCCCAUGUUGUAUUCGAAUUAGAACAUGGCUUUGUACCCAAAGCUAAAGAAGAACGUCAUAUUAGAAAGAUAAAUUAAUGUUAGACAUUAAAAUAUUGUUUGAUUUGAGUUUUUGUCGGGAACUGAUAAAAAUAUACCUUUUUUUAAAUUCAUAAUAAUUUCCAAAAACUGGCAUUAUCAGACAUAAGUAUUUUCUCAUUUUCCAAAAAUCAAAAGAAGCGAAAGAUACCAAAUUUACAUUCAAAUUCAUACAUCGAAAAAAAAAAGACAGCACCAAAGCAAAGAAAAACAAAAAGAUGAAAAACAGUAUACGAGCACAAUAAGAUAACACCAAACAAAGAUUUUUUUCUAUUUUUAAUUCAAAUAUGUAAACAGUAUUUACGUCGAUACGUAUCUAUUACUGAUUAAGAAUUCAAAUGUUCAUUGUUUAUCUUUGUAAAUCUUUAUCUCAUAACAUAAUUAUGAAUCAAAUAUUUAUCUUGUCAAAACUUUUUUGUAAAAUGAACCUGUAACAAAAUACCUAAUAGAAUCAAUCCGAUAAUUUUAAGCCAAGGUAAUAUGUCUUAAAGAGAAUUUUCAAAUGACGAUUGAUGAAAGAGGGACGAAAGAUACCAGAGGGAGAGUCAAACUCAUAGACAAAAAAUAAACUGACAACGUCAUGGAUAAAAAUAAAUAGAUAAAAAGACAAAUAAUAGUACACAACAUAGAAAAACUAAAGACUAAGCAAAAAAAUAAUUUGGCAUUUAAUGAUGAUAAAAAUAGAUAGAUGUUUUACAUACACCGGCAACCUAAAUGCAUAUUUAGAAUGAGAACAUGUUAAUGUUUUUUGAAAGAUAAACCUGCUUUGUACUAUACCGGCUUAAAUGAGUUUUUAACGUGUUCAUUGGUUCACAGUCCACAGGAAUAAAUUUCGUCAUAUCCUGCCACUGUUGUCUAGUCAAGAGAAAACUAAUCUUACUCAUAAAUGUCGCGUGUUUACCAUGAAACAGCAAAUGACAAGUUUAAAACCUUUUGUUUCACCUGCUUCAAUUUCAUACAAAUCUUUGACUUCCAGCAACCGAAUGGAACUCGCUACUACGACACCACUUAUACGAUUUAUGCGUUUUGAUACGGGUUAUGUUCUUGUGAUACAAUUUAUGAUGGUAUGCUUCUAAAUCCUUAACGGUAUUGAUUGUACUUGAUUUUCAUAUGAUGAAGACAUAAUCUUUCAAUCAGUUAAUGUCAGUAACUGCUUGUAGUCAUUUGUUAAUUUAUUUAUCAUUGUAAAUUAACUUAGUUUCUUUUGUUACCUAUUCUGAUAUCGGACUCGGACUUGUUUUAAACUAAGUUUUACUGUGCGUUUUGCUAUGUGAUUCUUUUUUAUUCUACAUUGGCAAGAUAUAUAGAAGGAGGAUUGAGAUCUCACAAAACAUAGCUAACCCCGCCACAUGUUGUAUUUAUGUGCGUAUGUGUGGUUGUCGUUUGUUGAUGUUACAGAGUUGUUUUUGUUUAAAUUAUGUACAUAACUUAGGCCGUUAGUUUUCUCGAUUAAAAUUGUUUUUUAUGUAUAAUUUCCUGAAAUAAAAACAUUAGUUUAAGAAAGAAGUUCCUUCUUUUCUAUAUAUUUUACUUGUUUUAAUGACGAAGUCAAAUAAGAACAUUACAUGUUCGAUGUCUGUUGAAACGUUAUGUCUUAUGUGUGUCCGGGUGGUAUAAAUUAUAAUAAUAUUGUCCGAGUGCAGCUAUUAUUUAUUUAAUUAAUUAAUUACAGUUUUCUAAAAAAACAAAAAAAAAACAAGUUAAGGUAUGACUAUGUCUUUACUAAGGUAAUUUUGUUGCCAUCGAACAAACGAUGAAAUAAAUGCAUGAAGUAUACAGAUAAUUUAUAAUGGUUUUAAGUAUUCACCCCACCUCCCUAAACAAUGGACCACUUCAACGUAAUAACGAAUGCCCAUGUCCUACUUAAUAUGACACACCGCCAUUGUAUGAUUAUUUUCCGAAAUUGUCAAGUGUUCCCCGCCAUACAAUACUAUAUGUACAUUAAGAUUAUAAAAUUUUAUGAUUAUGGCAAUGUAAACAAUAGAUGUGUUUACAUUUUGCUGUCAGUAUAGGGGACAUUGAAAUAUCUCGUGAUGGUUUAUCUAGUUAACUUCAUAUAGUUGAUAAACAUCUUAACAGAUUUGAAAAAAAUAUAUUCUCGAAGUGCAGACUAUUGAGUUGUAAAUCUUGAUGAUAUAUGAAAUGUGUAUUCGAAUUGUCUUUUUCAUAAUUUUCUCUUUAAAUUAUGUACUUUAGUUUCUGUAUCGGAAGUUAUUCUCUUUAGAGAAUGGGAAACGCAAUUAUUGAAAUGUCGAAUACACUUGGAAAUAAACUCAUCAUAGAUACCAGGACUGAAAUUUUACAUUUACGCCAGACAGAAGAUGUAUAUUCCAUGUUAUGCAGAUGCUGGUUGAAUGUUGAUUGUCCGUACGAAGAAAAGAAAACUGAGUUCACAUUGGGUUAACUGACAUCGUCACUAUAUUUGUUGUAAAUUUUAGUUCUUAUCUGACUUUCAUUGUAACUUUCUUAUAUGUAAGUCAAGAUAUUGAUUUAGAAAAUAUUAUCUGAGAGUAAGCGAAAGCUACUGUAAACCAACAAAUGUUCACGAGCGAAUAAUAAAGGUCACUGUCGCGAGUAUGAAAAUAACGCUAAUUUGCAUCUUCCAAAUAUAGGACACCUAAAUUUUUCUAUAUAUUGGUGUUUGCUCUUUGGUCGGGUUGGUUGUCCUUUCAACAUAUUCAUCAUUUCCAUUCUCUUUUUUAUAAAAAGUAAAAUCACAAAAAUACUGAACUCCAAGGAAAAUUCAAAAAGGAAAGUCCCCAAUCAAAUGGUUAAAUCAAAAGUUCAAACACAUCAAACGAAUGGAUAACAACUGUCAUAUUCCUGACUUGUUACAGGUAUUUUCUGAUAGAGAAAAUGGUGGAUUGAAUGGUGGAUUGAAUGGUGGAUUGAACCUCGUUUUAUAGCUAGCUAAACCUCUCAAUAGUAUGACAGUCACGUCAAAUUAUGUGAAUAUAUCAGAUUAACUCAAAGUUAACAAGAAAAUAACUUAACUCGAAAUAUGUUGUAUAAGAGUAAUAUGUAACGUGAAUGACCAAUUGUAAGAUGAUGGUUUUAGUCUAAUCAACUUUUUCAGUUUGAUUUUUUUUCAUUUAAUAACUGCAUACAUAUGUUUUAACUAAAUACAUUUGAAAUUAAACGGCAUUUAAACAUCAUUGUUUGUCAUUUUACAUAUUAGCAAAAAUCCGAUAUGUUUUCCAUAAUUUGAUUCUGUAUACAAUUUUCUAGAAUGUCUCUGUAAACGUCUGUUUGUCCAUAUGCAGUCGUCAAUGACGGUGAUGUUGGCUUAUAUCGUGUCACAUAAUUGUUUUAACGGAUCAAAAAGCAAAGCAAUGUGACGUUAAUUGUUAGAUGAUGUUAUUGAUUUCUUUUUUACUUUUAAAGUUUUAUUCAUUUUCAUAACUAUGAGAAAUCACAAAAUACGUUGUAAAAACUAUACACUAAUUGUAUAACAUUUGCAGUUUAGCGCCAUUUUAACAUUAUUAAUAACAUACAUUUGCAUUUGCUGUCGAUACAUUGGACUUUCAAAUAUCUAGUGAUAACUUUAUCAGAACGCCUUUGUUCUAGAGUCACGUCAUCUAAUUGUGAAACUUUCAAGGUAUAGGUAAUUACAUAGUUUCUUCAUAUGUUUGUAAUAAUGUUUGAAUAUUAGGAAUAACAUAAACCGCUAACCCUAAGUGUAAAAUAUUGACAAAUAUAAUACUUAUCCUUGUUAAAAUGAGCAUGUAUAAGGACAAGAAGGGUUAUUUUUUCAUAUUAUAAUUGGCAUUUCAUGAUUUUACUAUUGUUUCUGUUUAUAUUGUAUUACAUACAUUGCGUUGAAAAAAAGGUUAAGAAAGUAAGAAAGACUACGAAUACUUUGAGACCCCAGGGGAAAGUUGAAAGCGGGCGUCAUUAUGUAGGAAAUGAUGUAGGAGAAUGUUAUGAAUGUGUAUAUGAUAGAAUCCUAUUCAUUGAAUAGGAAUUGAAUGCAAGCGGGUGCGAAUUCAGCAUGUUCAGGGGGGAAAUAAAUACGUAAACAUACAAUUUAGUCAUAUGUAGAUCAAUCUGAGUGAAACUUGUAUAUCUUGUACCUAAGAUUACAAACUAAGUAUACAACUCAACACAAACGAUUAUAAACAACACUCAAUAGGCAACAAUAAGUGUAUGCUUUCAAUGGUUAAUUUCGUAUUAUUCGGUAUUGAAAAUAGUGGUUAAAUAAACUGGACAUCUGCAAUUGGUUUUUUCAAUUUAGUCUAGAAAUCACAAUAAUGACAUUUUACCCAACUUUAAAUGUAAAUUAGUUAUUAUUUUUUUUAGAAGAUGGCAAAAAUGUGUUGUUCAUUUAAGUACAAACCCUGUGUUAGGUCGUAUUCGGUAGGUCACAUUCGGAGAAAGGGAACGGGAUGUCAAGUAACAACAAUAAGUACACAUUCGUCGUCUUUUAUAAAAUAGUUAAUCCAUAAUAGUAAACCGAAUCGUUUAGGCUUCUGUUGAUUUAAAAAGUGAUUAAUUUCAAUUUCAGCACUUGGUAUAACAGCUUCAUUGUGAGCAGCAAUCAUCUAUUAAGGAAUUUAGGAUAGUUAAUUCAGAUAUUGGGGUAUCGUAUCAACUGGGAGAUUUAUACUCCGUAUGCAAGCGCCGCUGGUAUAUUGCUACAUAGAAAUUGUAGAUUCACAAUUUUGCAAAUAUGAAAUCAUAUCUUUUGUUAUUUGUUCAAAAUGUUAUUUUCAAAAAUAUAUAGCAAAAAUUACAAUUGACAUUCAAACUUAACAACCCUUUGAUAAACAAAAAAAGAAAUCUAAAGACAAAGAGAGACAUAUAAAACAAAACAUAGAAACUAAAAACUAAUCUCAGGUGUUCUGGGAUAAAAAAAAAAAGAAAGAAGAAAAUAAAGGUCCUUCUCAAUAUGCUACACUCGAUGUGCUGCUCAAGUAUGUUCUAACCCAGUAAUAAGCUAAAUAAGUUUGGUCAAAAAGGGCACAAGAUUGUUAUUCCGACAAUUGAACCAUAUCCGUCGUCAUCAGUAAGACAGAACUCAAUAAUGCUCAACCCACUAGUGAUUGAGUCAAUAUAAUUUUCUGCGGAAUGUUUUCAAACUUACCUCUCAAAGGAAAAGUAUGUUACAAUGUAAAAUUUAUAAAUGCUAUACCCUUAUUGCAAUCAAUAUUGUUGUUGCAUUAUCGUUAUAUGGACGUCUUCAAUAUUACCGUAAAGCAACUUUCUUUUAAGCAGUUUUUAUACAGUUUUUGACCACACUAUGAAUUGUUAUAAUAUCCAUUGCCACCAAGGUUAAACACAAAAAUUGUUUGAUAAAGAUAUUCAAAGUCCCAACAUAUACGUAUACCAAAACGACACUAACAAAAGAAGAAGUCUAGACAAUCAUAUAUCUAUUUCAUGAUCACUUCUAAUCCUAUCCAAUAAAUUAAAACGUUUUCUUUUAUUUACUCUAUUCGAUUAGAAGAUUCCAGAACACCUUGAAAUGUUCUUUCAAAAUAACUAACAUUUUUUUCUAUUUGCAAUCGAGUAGUUCUUUUGAGUUAAUUAUUGGGCUUUGUAAUUCAGUUGGCGAUUCUCAAAAUAAUUCAAAAAUUGUCUGUAUUUACUGGAGACGCGAAUUCCUAAACACCUUGUCCAUGUUGACACCUCUUUCCGAAUUCCUAACAUAUUUUCUAUCUGCUAUCAAUCGGUCGUCGUUUUCAUACUUACAAGGAAUCAAUAAACUGUUUAUAUAAACAUAUAAUAGUGAUACAUUUAAAGUUACGCGCCAUUAUAACAUUCGUAACAUGAUUUACAGAUGUCAGUAGAUUCGACGAUAAAUAUUUCGUGACUGUAUCGUUUGUUUACCUUCCUGGUUGAAAUAUUUUAUCAAGUUAAAGACAUUUGUGUAACUCCUUCAAAUUCAGGUAAAAUUAUUGCUGUUUAAUUUCAUUCAAUGACAUAUAAAGAAAGGAAUAGUAUUAAAACAAUCUGAUCUCCAAUACGUAUAGUUUACAUGUUUUGACAAGUAAUUUUGUGACACAGAAUGCAAUUGAUGGUCUCUAAAACACAUUUUUUCUCCGUGUACACUAACGAAAAAAAGGUUUUGUCCUGUAUACAAUGUUUCCCCAUCACGUUUAAUGAAACGUCAAGUAUGGUUUAAUAAAUUCUUAUAGAUUGCGCCAACUGGCCAUAGCUACAUAACAUGCAUAAUGAAUAGAAAUAUCCAUUUUGAUAAUCUUCAUACUAGUCUUUCAAGGGUUAUCUAACUUUAACCGUCAAAACCUAAAAAUUGUUAAUACGUUUUAUCUAUAAAUAUAAUUUCAGCAAUUUCUUAAUUUUUUUCUAAAAAGUCAAUGCUGAUUAUCAAAGUAUGCCCUAAUUCCGUAAAGACGAUUUUCGUCUUGCAUGUACAUCAGUAAUAACAAAUUAACAUAGAAAAACAAGUUUUGUUCAUAUCACUUUAACCCCUAGUUUUUGGUGUGGUUCGUGUUGUUUAUUCUUUAGUUUUCUAUGUUGUGUCGUGUGUACUUUUGUUUGUCUGUUUGUCUUUUUCAUUUUUGGUAAUGGCGUUGUCAGUUUAUUUUCGGUUUAUGAGUUUGACUGUCCCUUUGGUACCUUUCGUCCCUUUUUUUAAUAUCUUUAGAAUACAUUGUGGACCAUUUUUUUUUUAAAUUCUAGCUUAAUCUGCAUCCAGUGUUCACUCCCAAUGAUCAGUUAAAGUGCAUAUUAAUAUAAUAGCUCUUUUUGCUUUCAGCAAUGAAUCUGUUUCUCUUGUUGCAUAGCUGUGAUGUUUUCACUCAGCUGGCACAUAUCUCUUAAAACUAUAUACCUUCAUUCUUUUAUAUAUUAAAGUAUAAACUUGUUUAAUUCAGAGACGAGUGUGUGUUGUAAUGGGAAGUUCAUUCAUACAUGUUCAAUCGAUCUGUAAGCUAAAAACAGUUGGAAUGCCAAAUCAUCCAAUCUGAAACGCAAAUUAGUGACAAUUAUCUCUUAUACAUAAGAGAAAUGGAACACUGUAUAUAUUAAUUUCAUAUUUGCAUAUGGAGAUGAAUUUAUUUUUUGCGAACUUCUCGGGUUUUAAUUUAAGAAAGAUACUUGAAAAGUAUCUAUAAUGAUAGUAACGUUAAAAAAAACAGCAGGUAAGGCUUGUAAAAACAGUUUCACAACCCUCUGUAAUUUUUCAGAUUUAUAUACUUCCACUAAAUAUGACUAUUUAGGAAAUAUACUUUAAUUUGAAAUGUUGCAUUUAAUAAUAAUAGAUUAUAGACACGUUUUGAAUGUAAAAGUUCUUUUUUUAAAUUUUGGACACGACCAGUUUUCUAGUUGUCAUAUAAAUUAUUUGAUACUUUGAUACCACUUGGAAAAUAUGGUUCAUGGAUGAGUAUCGUCCUGUGCUUAGCUAAAUGGGAAACAUUGUACUGCGUGUCAUACUUUGGCUUUACUAGCAAAAUGUAUUAUAAAACAUCAUUUAAUAUUACUAGAAGAACAAACUUUGGAGAUUUCCUAUUGAUUAUUGUAUUACAGUUUAAAUUCGUUUGUAAAAUGAUAAAGAAGAUUUAUCGUUUAAAUAGAUGCAAAUAGAAGCAUAUUAUCAUAAUAAACGAAAAACAUUUAUUUUUAUUAAAAGUGCUCGUGCUUCUAAAUAAAGGCAACAAUAGUAUACCGGUGUUCAAAAGUCCCAAAUCGAUUGAGAGAAAACAAAUCUGAGUUACAACCCAAAACCACAGGAACAAAUCAACUAUAAGAGGGAAACAAAGGAACAGCAGGAACACUAAAGUGCAACAAAAACAAACACAAACAUACAUAAAUACAAACUAUUUGAUAACAACUGCCAUAUUCGUGACUUGGUAUAGGACAUUUUAAGAAACAAUGAUGGGUUGACCUGGUCAAAUGGCUAGGUAAAACUUCCACCGUAUGAUAAAGUCAAGGUCUUUAAUGUUCGACACAAAGGCUUCCAAAUUUGUUUAUUAAGACAGAUAUUUCAACAUAAGUGCUGAAGUAAUAAGUUAUUUACGUAAAAUAGUUGUAAUAAAGAUUUUACUUUAUGUUGCUAUCUUCAUUCUAUAAUAAAACUAAGCAAUCCAUUAAAUGGACAAUACAUAUUUUAAAAGGCAGAAAACAACAACCACUCAUAUACAGGCUCCUUACAAGGGACCGGCAUAUAUAGAAUGUGUCAGGGUUAACAUAAGAGACACUGAAUACAGAUAUUAGAAUACUCGCAGAUAUUUUGCUAUAAUAAAAUAUACAAGGCUACAAGGUAAUGACUCAAACUCUGUUGAAUUUUUCUUUUAAGAUUAACAAAUGUAGUAAAGAUAACAAAUCUGAAUUUUUGAAAUAUUUUGAACGGUCAAUAUAUACUUUUUCUUGCAGAUGAUGGCAAGCUCUGAACCUUCAUGUGCUGUAUGUGAAUAUCAACAUGUCUUAAAAUCUGCCUCCAUAUGGUGUUCAGAUUGUGAUGAAGGCCUCUGUAUAGACUGCAGUAAGCAUCAUGGAAUUUCAAAAGCAACAAGAAAGCAUGUAACUAUUCCGAUAUCAGAAUAUAAAUUAUUGCCGACUUACAUUACAAAUUGUAAGCAGACAUGUAGUACUCAUGAUGAAAAGUAUCUGAUUUACUGUAAUGAACAUGAAUGCGCGUGUUGCAGUAAGUGCAUCGUUGAAAGGCACACAAAAUGUCAAAAUAUAUCAAAUCUAGAUGAUGUUGUCAAAAACACAAAGACAUCAAACGCUUUUCUGGAAAUUCAUGAAUCAGUUAAUGAAGUUGCAGAAAAUAUCAAACGGAUCCGUCAAGAUGAAAACAACAAUCUGAAAACAUUGUCCGAACAAAGAAAACAGAUCGAACGUGAUGUUCAACAAGUUCGAUUAAACAUCAAUCGGCAUCUCGAUAAACUACAAGAGGACUUCAUAUUAGAAUUGUAUGAGAUCGAAAAAAGAGGAAAUAAAAAAAUCAAUCAGUUAAUGAAAGCUUUAGAAAAGCAUGAAAGUAAAGUUGCCGAGCACCAAAAGAAUAUAGCAAACAUAAAACAACACGCAUCAGAUCUACAGACUUUCCUAGCUCUGAAACAGAUUGAAAGUGAUGUUGAUAAAAAUUGUCAGUUUAUUGAUUCAAUUACUGAAAGUAAUGUUCUUAAUCGUGUGGAGAUCAAGUUUAACAUUACUACAUCACUGACUGACAUUGAAAAUAGUGUUCUUGAGUUUGGAAAAGUAUUUAUUGACAUCUCUAAUAGCUCAGUGAACAUUGUGAAGAAAAAGCAACAACAAGCUCAGUUGAUAUUACCUAAAGUAUCAUCAAUUGUGCCCAUUGAGAAUAUACAAGUCAAGUUAGAACAGACUAUAUAUACCAAAUCAUCCUUUGCUAGUGGAUGUUGCAUAUUGCCUGAUAGUAGGUUUGUAUUCGCCUGUCCUGAAUUAAACAAAGUUACUGUAGUUAAACAAGACGGGACGGUUGACUUUGUUUUGAAUGUAACAGCAGCAAAUGAUGUAGCGUACAACGAUAAAGAUAACACUAUAGCGAUAACAUCCUUUUGGAGAAGCAUUGGCAAUCAAAUAACAAUAAUCGAUUUAUUUAAACGAAAAGUAGAGAAAACUUUUUCACCUGGAGGACAAACCGAUGGCAUAGCAGUGACAAAUAACACACUGCUGUAUCACAUAUACAAUAAAUCAAUUCGGGUCAUGGAUCUGACUGACGAAUCAACACGUGAUAUAACUACUGAGCACAUGGACACAGAAAUCAACAUAACAAUAUCUGGACACAAACUUUAUUAUUCCAGUUAUAAUUAUCAUACAGUAAUAUGCUGCGAUCUGCAAGGUACAACACAAUGGACAUUCAAAAAUGAAAAAGUUUUAGCGAAACCACUUGGAAUAUCAGCUGACAAUGCUGGUAACGUGUAUGUUGCAGGAUUUCAAUCAAAUAAUGUCGUGGUUAUCUCCCCUGAUGGACAAACACAUAGAGAACUCUUAACUGAAAGAGAUGGUUUAUAUUACCCAUGUUCAAUUAACUUUAGAAAGGAAACUAAUCAGUUAUUAGUUACAAAUAAUUCUAAGAAAGCGUAUUUGUAUAACGUAUCUAGUAAUUAAACCACUUCAAUAUUAUAUCUUAAUGCAGUAUUGAAUGAAAUGGAGAAUAAAAGAUACAUAUAUACAAAAAAAAACACAUAGUUGCAUGGAAACACAAUUGCUAGUAAAAUGUACUUUAUAGAACAGCCCGGAUUUUUCCUGAUAUUCAGAAUUGAAACCAGGAAAUUGAUUGUUUAUACAAGCAUUUGAAUGAUUAGGUUAAGUGCUUCUCUCACAGUUGGUGUCCACUGAUGUUAUAAAAAAAACACGGAUGUUCAUUUGGUCAAGAUUAUUUAACUUACAGUUUCUACACUAAAUACAUUAUAUUUU
Molecule: long non-coding RNA, 40255 nt
Filed under: Mytilus galloprovincialis (Mediterranean mussel)
Lineage: Eukaryota; Metazoa; Mollusca; Bivalvia; Mytilida; Mytilidae
Source: RNAcentral